GUAGCAAUUAAUCUGGUGCAAGUUUUCGCUUCAACUACGCAACCAAAAUGAAAUUAUUGUAUCUUCUUGCGAUAUUUUUGAUGAUAUUUAUAAUUAAUAUUUUCUGUUACGAUUCAGAAGAGGAGGAUCUUUGUUCUCAGCCAGAACAACUGUCGAAGUUUUGGAAAUGCUCUUUAAGAAAUUUGCCUAAUUAUUAUAAAAAUCUUUACAUAAAAUUGGCUGAUUGUAUCACCAUCGAAGAAGGAGUUUUUGGAAGAAAUGAAGCUCUUGCAUAUCAUAUGUGUCAUGCUUUGUCUGAAAAUAUUACAAACUGCUUGGGAACUGAAUACUCGAAACCACAUC
Molecule: long non-coding RNA, 342 nt
Filed under: Androctonus crassicauda
Lineage: Eukaryota; Metazoa; Arthropoda; Arachnida; Scorpiones; Buthidae
Source: RNAcentral